RNAcentral lists this ribosomal RNA (253 nucleotides) under uncultured bacterium. Its description in RNAcentral is "partial 16S ribosomal RNA". It matches the Rfam family "Bacterial small subunit ribosomal RNA", at positions 524 to 776 of the family's 1533-position model. The record is from RNAcentral.
UACGUAGGGCGCAAGCGUUGUCCGGAAUUAUUGGGCGUAAAGAGCUCGUAGGUGGUCUGUUGCGUCCGCUGUGAAAACCCAGGGCUUAACCCUGGGCUGGCAGUGGAUACGGGCAGACUAGAGGUAGGUAGGGGAGAAUGGAAUUCCCGGUGUAGCGGUGAAAUGCGCAGAUAUCGGGAGGAACACCGGUGGCGAAGGCGGUUCUCUGGGCCUUACCUGACACUGAGGAGCGAAAGCGUGGGGAGCGAACGGG